CCGAAACAAGAGACCUCCCAUUGUUUGAAGUGCCAAUAUUUGCCCAUUGCAUCAAACAAAUACAAAAUUAAAACAUGCACAUAAGUAAACUAAAGUACUAAAAGAUGCAAUACAUAAAACCAUAAUAUCGAGUGCACUAAUUAAAGGAUAGUAAAAAGUGCAUUAGUACAUAACAUUGUUCGAGACUUAAUCAAUAUAAAACUACCCAAACUACGAGACUACUGAGUGCAACGAGGCCACUUUCCCUUCUUGAAAGCAUUGGGGUUCUCCUCCAUUGCUGCUUCACACGGCGUGCACGCUCAAGCUUCUUCUGCUUCUCCUCCUUGUAAGCAGCAACACGCCUCUUUUCCACCUCUUCUGUUCGCUAUUUCUCCGCCGCAAGCUCCUUCUGUUUCUUCUCCAUCAUCUCCUUGUCCUCUUCCUCCCACUUAUUUAGCUUCUUCAUUCACUCCUUGUCUUUCUGCGAGAUCUUAGAGUCAAUCCACUGCUCAAAAUCACAGAGCGGUGGAGGAGUCUACAAAGCAUGCAACUGGUAGGCGCCAAAUAAAUCAUGCAUCAAUUCGUACGAAACUAGAGAAAUGUUAGACUAUAAAAUUCUCACCAUCAAGAUAAUGCGGCGUUGAGUAAUCGUUGGCUGAUAAAUAUAGUUAGCACACAUCCAAUACCUCUGCAUGUACGUGUCCUCUUCAUCGGACUUGACUACCUUGCACGGAUCACCACAAAAACACAUAGGCACUGGAACACCACUAGGCAGAGGCAGCGGGUCGAAGGCAUUUUCGAUCAACGGACCCUUCCUAAAAUUCAAGUUGUUUCGUUCUAAGAACCGCAUAAACAUUAAACGCUACAAUUCGAUAAUACAAUAUAUACAAUGGUUAUCUUGGUUUAGAAGAUUUACCACGCAUAGGCAUCCUAAGAUUCGAUAAUAAGAAAAUUAGAAAUCCUUGACAUAUAUUUCAUACAAACCAAAUCGAUGACAAAAAAAGGAGUCAGAGGAUACCUUGCCACAGAAGACCACUGGAUCAAAUACAAGUUUCAAAGGUCCAAUUUGGUGAUAUUUGAGGAUGGUAGUCGUAGAGAGAAAGAAGAAAACCGUGAAGAAUGAGAUAAAAAAGCAGCGUCUGCAAGGAAAGAAUGGCCGCCGUUUAUAUUGCGAACCUCGACGCCAAGAUCGACGGCGCCGAGGUCGGCGCCACUGGUCUCGACGCCGAGGUUGGCGUCCAGAUCCAUGGCGCCGACCUCGCUGUCACGUGUGCGCCACCUCAUCGCACAGAUCUGAGACCUCAGCGCCAAAUUGACGCCGAGGCGUGUAACCUCGGCACCAAUGAUAACGGCGUCGAGGUGAGAAUCUAUUUUCUGAAAUCAAACAAAAAAGGUGUAUUUAUAAAAAACUUUUGGAAAAAGGACCAAAUCAAAAAAAAAAGACGGUAGGUGACAUCGUUGUUACGUCUGUGCCACUGACACCGGG
Molecule: long non-coding RNA, 1465 nt
Filed under: Zea mays
Lineage: Eukaryota; Viridiplantae; Streptophyta; Magnoliopsida; Poales; Poaceae
Description: long non-coding RNA (ZMAY_LNC003602)
Source: RNAcentral